This 474-nucleotide ribosomal RNA is filed under the name Triticum aestivum (bread wheat). RNAcentral describes it as "partial small subunit ribosomal RNA". Lineage: Eukaryota; Viridiplantae; Streptophyta; Magnoliopsida; Poales; Poaceae. The record is from RNAcentral.
AUGACAAGACCAAAAAGAGAUGGUGGUAUCGGUUUUCGGGAUAUGCACUCCUUUAACCAAGCACUGCUAGCAAGACAGGGGUGGAGAUUGGUACAAAACCCCAACAGUAUAUGUGCACGGGUUCUAAAAUCUAAAUACUACCCAAAUGGUGAGCUUCUGAAUACCGUGUUCUCCUCUGAUGCUUCCCCCACGUGGCGUUGUAUUGAGUUUGGGCUUGAGCUCCUAAAACAAGGUCUGAUUUGGAGAGUUGGCAGCGGUAGGAAAAUUCAAAUAGAAAGAGAUCAAUGGAUUCCAAGAAAGGAAGGCCUUAAAACUGCAAGUUUUAUUAGCCGGUCCAGAUUGAGAUGGGUUAAUCAGCUUAUGAUCCCGGGCACGAAGGAAUGGAAUGUUGAGCUUAUCUGGAAAAUAUUGCAUACCUUUGACGCUGUUGAAAUAUGCAAAAUUCGGAUUUCAUAUAUGUGGGAUGGAAAGUGA